RNAcentral lists this long non-coding RNA (3013 nucleotides) under Dicentrarchus labrax (European seabass). Its description in RNAcentral is "lncRNA (ENSDLAG00005031601.1)". The record is from RNAcentral. Lineage: Eukaryota; Metazoa; Chordata; Actinopteri; Moronidae.
ACAUCUGGAAAGUGGCAGCAGCAAGUCAGGGAGAGAGAGGACAGCAACAGCGACAUCAAGGCGGGAAGCCUCAUCAGCGGUGAACAGAAACGUGUAGGCAUAAACGGAGAGCAUCAAACGGGUGAAGCAGUGGUGGAAAACGGAGUGCAAGCUGAAGAUGUAUUGAUUGAGGAAAACAGAGUGCAGCCUUGUUCGUACUUGGUGUCUCCUCAACAUUUUGGAGCAUUUGACAGUACUGCAUCUUUGUACUCUGGCUUUGACGAUGGCACCUGUACCUCUCCAAGUCAUCCUGCUUUGUCCCAGACUGUUGAUAGUACCUUAAAUACAACUUUGAAUAUUCCGGAUGUUCCAUGUCCUGCUGUAGUUGACUCUUCUGCAUCAUGUCAAUCAAAGGAUGACACCAGGCGUGACACUUUGACCAGACAAGCUACUGCUAUUAUGUUGACUGCAAGAGAAAAACACCAUAUUUCACAGCGAGGUGUGAAUGAUGUUUUGGCAGCAAUGCAGCAAUACCAAGCUCUGUUGGUGACUAAUCUAAGGAGUCAGCUACAAACUGUAUUCCAGCAACAUCAAGGAAAUGAACUUGAAAAGGAAGCGAUGGCAGUAUUUGACCGGAUUGAGGAUCCAUUUGCCUCUGUUGUGACAACAUAAAGGUGACCUGAUGAAGCUCAGGUGCUCCUGGACCCAUCAGAGGACAGAGACGGCUGCAGCAUCAGGACAGUCUGGGUAUCCAAAGGAAGACUGAUGAAGAUGAACACUGACUGCAGAGCUCCAUUACCAGCUCACACUUCAAUAUACUAGAAACCAUAAACCUUGAUGGAGAACAUGAUCUGCACAGCUUACAUAAAAGUUCUAGCUUUGUUACUUACAACAUGUGUAACUGGAAUAUGAAGUAACAUAAAUAAAGUGUUUUACUUUUAAAAAGAGUUUUGGUCAUUUUUAAAUUCAGUAAUAAGUGUGGUUUUAUAUAAAUAACAUGUUAUUUCAGGUUUUAUGAAGAUUUCCUGGAUGUACAAGAGUUGAAAACCUGAUUCGUGUAACAUCUAUCAAUAUGAAAAUGUGGAACUUAAACCUGUAUUAAUGACUGUAAGCAACACAAUACAUUACUGUCUCACAUUCAAACUUUAUUACAUUGGAAGAUAAAUUCAUAAUCAUAAUACAGUAUAUAAUAUAAAUGAUAGAAUAUUCAGUAUACAGUAUUUUUAAUGGGGUUCAAACAUAAUUGCAGCUUUUACACAUAUCUGAAGGUUAACUUUGGUAAUAAUACUUUUAAGUUAAAAUAUCAGACUAUGAAAUAUGGCUACAGUACCGUUAACAGUUGGUUACUUAGCUGUUUUUAAACCACAUAAACAAUUUACUUUAUUAGAUGAGUAAUUGCUUCAGUUAUGUUGACAUGUUGUACAGGAUAAAGUAUUCCAGGUUUCUGUUUCCAUGGUCUCAGUAAACUAAUGGUGUAUAAAGAAUAUAACAGAGGGGAGGUUACAGUAAUCAUUAUACUAUUACUCUGAUUACUUUGGUACAUUUACUGGGUGUUUCUUCACUAGAAACAACUGCUUGACUAAUGCUGUUAAUAUUAUGUAAUAUAUAAUAUGUUUAACUUCACUGGGCUGUGUAGAUUGUAGGUCACUGCUCACUGCUGUACCUGUAAAGACAAGCAUAAAACACAGUGUUGGUUCUCAUAGUUAAGGUAUAAACACUAACAUUAUGUGAUAGAUAGAGGUUAAUAUAUAUAUAUAAUAUAUAUAUAUAUAUAUAUAUAUAUAUUAGUUAUAUGUAUGUAUAUGUAGUUAAUAUAGCAGUAUUUACCUGAGGAAAACGUCACAGAAAGCUGUAAUCCUGAUUGUUGAAGUUGUUCAUUUCUCUGUGAUUUCAGGUCAGACUCCCGCUCUAACAUGUCCGCUGGUGAAGUUUUUGCUUUAGAAGCAGUUAUUGAAUUAAUAUUGACGGUAGAAAUGAAGCUAAUCUCAGUAGCAGUGAGGAGCCGGCAACGAAGGGGAGGGGCCGGAGCGUCAUCCGCGUGAGCCGCAUAAUCCGCGUCAUAAUGCCGUCCUAUCAGAGCAGACUGGGCUUUUCGGGAGGGGGGUCUUAAAGAGACAGGCGCUAAAACCUAGCGAUUCAGACAGAGGCUGAAAAGAGGUGCUCAGCUGUAGGCAGUAUGAGAAAAAUAAACAUAAACAUUAAAACAUCUAAACCUAUUGUAGGAGAGCCACAAAAUACAAUUAUGAACCUGAAAAAGGGCAUAAUAUGACUCCUUUAAUAUGUUAGAUAUGAAGCAGCAGGUUCUGCCAGGUUCAGAUGGCCUGAGAACACAUGACAAAUGAAAAUAAACAACCUUUAAUUUUAAGUUUCUUGGCACUCUUAAAUUGAGAAGUUGUGCAAGUGGUCUUACACUUAAAAUGAGGCAAAUAAUCUUGUUGCUCCACUGGGUUUUAUUGUAAAACAUUUGUAUACCCUGUUACUGGUUCAUUCUAGCUCAAAAGUAGCUGGAAUAAGUUAGCCGUACUUUCUUAAAAUUAGAUUAUUUUUCCAAUGCAAAACAUGCUUGACAAGAUUAAUUUUCUUUUUGAACAAAAAAUAAGACUUAUUUCCUUGAUACAAGGCUUUUUUACUUUCUUGAAAUUCCUUUUUUGCAGUGUGUAAGUAAACAGGGUCUGCAAACAGCUGGAAAGUUUUCAUUAGCAAAGUCAUAUUCAUCACCACUAAAUGAUGUGCUGACUAAUUUUCUUGUAAAAAGGCCCUGAACUGGCAGUGCUGUAAACCCUGAUCUGAUGUUAUUAAAACAUUUCAGGACAACAGACACAAUGAGGCCUUUUUAGACAAAAUAUCGGCAUUUCUCAACAUGCAGUCCACCACAAACUGCCCUUCAGUGAAUGGCUUUCCUGCUUUGGUGAUGAAUUCACUGAAGUUCAUCUUCGCCACCUUUCUUGCAUCAAAAACAGUUUUAUUUACUUUUUAACCCUUACAAACUGUUCAUAUCCAAUGCCUACACAGGAUGGUCUGGGUCAAAUUUGAC